Molecule: ribosomal RNA, 912 nt
Filed under: Pyrrhulomyces astragalinus
Lineage: Eukaryota; Fungi; Basidiomycota; Agaricomycetes; Agaricales; Strophariaceae
Description: partial large subunit ribosomal RNA
Rfam family: Eukaryotic large subunit ribosomal RNA
Source: RNAcentral
CAUAUCAAUAAGCGGAGGAAAAGAAACUAACAAGGAUUCCCCUAGUAACUGCGAGUGAAGCGGGAAAAGCUCAAAUUUAAAAUCUGGCAGUCUUUGGCUGUCCGAGUUGUAAUCUAGAGAAGUGUUAUCCGCGCUGGACCGUGUACAAGUCUCCUGGAAUGGAGCGUCAUAGAGGGUGAGAAUCCCGUCUUUGACACGGACUGCCAGGGCUUUGUGAUGCGCUCUCAAAGAGUCGAGUUGUUUGGGAAUGCAGCUCAAAAUGGGUGGUAAAUUCCAUCUAAAGCUAAAUAUUGGCGAGAGACCGAUAGCGAACAAGUACCGUGAGGGAAAGAUGAAAAGAACUUUGGAAAGAGAGUUAAACAGUACGUGAAAUUGCUGAAAGGGAAACGCUUGAAGUCAGUCGCGUUGUCUGGGAAUCAACCUUGCUUUUGCUGGGCGUACUUUCUAGAUAAUGGGUCAGCAUCAAUUUUGACUGUUGGAUAAAGUCUAGAGGAAUGUGGCAUCUUCGGAUGUGUUAUAGCCUUUGGUUGCAUACAACAGUUGGGAUUGAGGAACUCAGCACGCCGCAAGGCCGGGUAAUAUAUACCACGUUCGUGCUUAGGAUGCUGGCAUAAUGGCUUUAAUCGACCCGUCUUGAAACACGGACCAAGGAGUCUAACAUGCCUGCGAGUAUUUGGGUGGAAAACCCGAGUGCGCAAUGAAAGUGAAAGUUGAGAUCCCUGUCAUGGGGAGCAUCGACGCCCGGACCGGAGCUUUUGUGAUGGAUCUGCGGUAGAGCAUGUAUGUUGGGACCCGAAAGAUGGUGAACUAUGCCUGAAUAGGGUGAAGCCAGAGGAAACUCUGGUGGAGGCUCGUAGCGAUUCUGACGUGCAAAUCGAUCGUCAAAUUUGGGUAUAGGGGCGAAAGACUAAU